This is a long non-coding RNA of Amphiprion ocellaris (clown anemonefish), 1421 nucleotides long. The record is from Ensembl. NCBI's taxonomy places the organism in Eukaryota, Metazoa, Chordata, Actinopteri, Pomacentridae.
GAAGAAGAACGUUCCAUCAGAGCUUCCAUCUGUCUGCUGCUCGGUGUGUGGGAUGUCGGAGGCCACCUGAACGCAGCACGGACUCACCUGCCUCCCCAGCAGCCUCCUCACUGCUGAUCAACCUGCUGGAGCUGAACUCUGUGGCCUCGGCUUCUUCUCACAGCUGGACAUGCUGCUGGAAUCUGUUCUCAGGGUCUUCUGGAUCUGCUUCCUGCUCCUCAGCUCUGGAGCUUGUUACCCUUUUCUAAUUAAAGGUCAAACAGGUUCUGGAGGAGCUGGUGGAGGAACUGGAGGAGCUGGUGGAGGAGCUGGUGCUGGUGGUUCUGGGGGAUCUGGUGGUUCUGGAGGAUCUGGUGGUUCAGGAGGCUCUGGUUUCUUCAGCAGUUCUUUGCCCUUUGGAUCUGCAGGAUUUACUCCUUUGAUUAACUACCCACAGGGGUUCUCCUACGAUAUAAAUGACUUGAGACCAAGGUUUGUCCGUCUCCCAGACCCCUCAGUCUGGAUCCCUGAUAACAUUCCCACCGACCCCUUCCCAUUGGUUGUUCGUGGUCCUACGUCCUACAUCGUCCAGUCUAGUAACGGCUACCAGCGAGCCAGAGAACUCCUCUCCCACUCUAAAUACUCCCCAGAUGACUUUGGCCCGUUUUUCUCUCCGGUGAACCCAGGAGAUCCCAGCCAAGGACCUGGACCUGGAACCGGAACCAAGGUCUAAGGAGGUGGAACUGAUCAGCAGAACCUCCAAGAAACUACGACGUAACCUUUAAUAAACCUUAAGUAAACAUGAAUCUGAGUAUCUGUGCUUGACUUUAACGCCAUUGAUUUAAACUGGUUUAGUUUGACUUUAAACAGCUGGUUUUCUUAAACUAUCAAGCAGCCGUUCCAAUAAUUCUGGCUGCUGUAGUUUAAAGUCUCUCAGGUGUUUCUCCUGCAUCUUAUCAGCUCAGAGGUAAGAAAAUGGAGGAUGACCUGGAACAAAUGACACCGUGUCUGGGACCAAAUGCAGCUAUAGUGAAGAACCUGACAGUAAAGUGACUCUAAAGCGUCUUGUGUAGAUGAGUAGUUCUACUGAAUUUGUUCUGACCAUUAAACCCUAGACCUCUCCUUCCUUGGUUGGAGUUCUGUUCUCAGCUGAUCUAGUAAACUGGAAUUGUGACCAAAGUAAACCAUGAAUCUGAGUUUGUCUGACUUGAACUUUACUGAAGGUUUAAAUGAGUUUUAACUCUUUAAACGGUUGGUUUUCUUCAAUUCUCCUGAAGUUAUCUUUAACUGGCUGCUCCUGUAGUUUAACAUUGCCAUGAAGGUAUUUGAGCUACAAAUCAGGAGAACAAGGGUGAAAACUCUGCUUUUCUGGGACCAAAUAAAGCAGUUCGCUUAAAAGUGAUGUUUUUCUGUGUAGAUUAAUGGACUAAAGUGGUUUUUCC